This 120-nucleotide ribosomal RNA is filed under the name Cucumis melo (muskmelon). The record is from RNAcentral. Lineage: Eukaryota; Viridiplantae; Streptophyta; Magnoliopsida; Cucurbitales; Cucurbitaceae.
GUAUGCAAUCAUACCGGUACUAAUACAUUUCAAUAUAAUCAAAACUUUGUAGUUAAACGUAUUUAGGUAAGAGUGAUACCAAGUUGAGUGAACACUUGAAAAGUCAUCGUGUUGCACCCU